GUUUUCUGCAGGUGUGUCAGUCCAAACUCAGGCUCAGGAUGGGACACAGCCCAGUGUCAAACUCUCCAAAUGGAGCCUUGGACCUGGGACCAGAAAGAGCAAGGCACCUCCCAGGAGUUGCUUUGGAACUUUGGCUCCAAUUCAUCUAAGGAAUUAGGACCUACCUGUGGUGCCUGUGGAGUGUCACAGUCCAGUUUUACGCCCUUACUUGCUGGUGGUGGACUGUGGACCCACUGGCAGUCCAUAACCUAUAUCUGCCACCAAGGAGCUAAGGCAGACUGAAGAAAACAUGCUUGGCCCGCUUUCUGCCUGUUCACAUCAACUAUGCUAUAGCUACCUGGAACCCACCUGCCCGGAAGCCUCCCGGAAGACCCAGUUAAAAGUGAACCUGGAAUUCCUCAGCCUUUGAGUUAUGCAUGGAAUAUAAUUUCAUUACUUCUGUGGCAUCAAAUCCCCAGGGUGAACACCCGUGUUUUUCAUUCUCUUUUUAUUCUUAGCUUAAACUAAAAUCUCCUCUUCUCUUUUGCUGAGAAACACCUAAGAAUCAUGUCCUUUUUUUUUUUUUUUUUUUUUUUUUUUUUUGAGACAGAGUCUCACUCUGUUGCCCAGGCUGGAAUGCAGUGGUGUGAUCUCCGCUCACUGCAACUUCCUCUCCCAGGUUCAAGCGAUUCUCCUGCCUCAACCUCCCAAGUAGCUGGGACUACCUGUGUGCGCCACCACACCUGGCUAAUUUUUGUAUUUCACCAUAUUGGCCAGGCUGGUCUCGAACUCCUGACCUCGUGAUCCGCUCGCCUCGGACUCCCAAAGUGCUGGGAUUACAGGCAUGAGCCACCGUGCCCGGCUGCAUCAUGUCUUCUUCUCCCAACUCUUCCUCAUAUUGCCUUUUAUAUUCCCAUAACAAUCUGGAUCAUUGUUUUUUGAAAGACUAUUCAUGAAAAGUUAACAUUUGAAAUGUUCUUAAAACAAAAAGAAAAAAAAAUAGGGAAUUGAUAUAGUUUGGCUCUGUGUCAUCACCCAAAUCUCAUGUUGAAUUGUAUUCCUCAAUGUUGGCAGAGGGACCUGGUAGGAGGUGCUUGGAUCAUGGGGGCAGUUUCCCCCUUGCUGUUCUCCUGAUAAUGAGUGAGUUCUCACAAGAUUUGAUUGUUUGAAAGUGUGUAGCACUCCUCCUUUUGCUUGCUCUCUCUUUUCUGCCACCAUGUGAAGAUGUGCUUGCUUCCUCUUCACCUUCCACCAUGAUUGUAAGUUUCCUGAGACCUCCUCCACCAUGCCUCCCGUGG
Molecule: long non-coding RNA, 1277 nt
Filed under: Homo sapiens (human)
Lineage: Eukaryota; Metazoa; Chordata; Mammalia; Primates; Hominidae
Description: HSALNT0078128
Source: RNAcentral